AGUCAUCUUCACCUCCACUGUACUGAUCGAUGUCUUGAUGUCGUGAAAGCUUCCGAGGUCUUCCAAGCCCAUCUUCGGCAUCCAACCUUCCUAGCUUCAAGCUUGAAAUACCAUCCCUCAUGUUGGAAUAAACCUGUGCAUACCAGGAGAAAAAAGAUGAAUAAUAUAUGAGAAUUAGUUUUCACUAGUGGUGCAAACUCCUCUAUUUUCAUAACUGCCUCGCGUUGGAUCC
Long non-coding RNA from Hibiscus syriacus, 232 nucleotides. RefSeq lists it as uncharacterized. The record is from RefSeq and is a predicted model, not a curated record. The transcript is spliced from 3 exons. Lineage: Eukaryota; Viridiplantae; Streptophyta; Magnoliopsida; Malvales; Malvaceae.